This 376-nucleotide ribosomal RNA is filed under the name uncultured bacterium. Its description in RNAcentral is "bacterial SSU rRNA". It matches the Rfam family "Bacterial small subunit ribosomal RNA", at positions 521 to 896 of the family's 1533-position model. The record is from RNAcentral.
UAAUACGGAGGGUGCAAGCGUUAAUCGGAAUUACUGGGCGUAAAGCGUGCGUAGGUGGUUUAUUAAGUCAGAUGUGAAAGCCCUGGGCUUAACCUAGGAACUGCAUUUGAAACUGGCAGACUAGAGUACUGUAGAGGGGGGUAGAAUUUCAGGUGUAGCGGUGAAAUGCGUAGAGAUCUGAAGGAAUACCGGUGGCGAAGGCGGCCCCCUGGACAGAUACUGACACUCAGAUGCGAAAGCGUGGGGAGCAAACAGGAUUAGAUACCCUGGUAGUCCACGCCGUAAACGAUGUCUACUUGGAGGUUGUGGCCUUGAGCCGUGGCUUUCGGAGCUAACGCGUUAAGUAGACCGCCUGGGGAGUACGGUCGCAAGAUUA